AGUGACACAAAGGGUUAAAGUAGGGGAAUUAAAUAGUUUGUUACAGAAGGGUUUAUUGAGUGCUUGGUAGGUCAUUUUUGACAGGUGCAGGAAUGGAGUCAUGGGGUGGGGGAUGAGAAACCUGCUGACAGUUUAAUUGAUACGCUUUAAUGAAGAAGUGAGUUUUCAAAGAUUUUUUGAAGGAAUGGAGGCUGGGUGAAAGUCUGAUUGAGGAG
Non-coding RNA from Pelobates cultripes (western spadefoot toad), 215 nucleotides. NCBI's taxonomy places the organism in Eukaryota, Metazoa, Chordata, Amphibia, Anura, Pelobatidae. The record is from the annotation of a GenBank genome assembly.